This is a non-coding RNA of Danio rerio (zebrafish), 71 nucleotides long. Lineage: Eukaryota; Metazoa; Chordata; Actinopteri; Cypriniformes; Danionidae. The record is from Rfam.
GCAUUGGUGGUUCAGUGGUGGAAUUCUCGCCUGCCACGCUGGAGACCCGGGUCCGAUUCCCGGCCAAUGCA